Long non-coding RNA from Sesamum indicum (sesame), 1231 nucleotides. RefSeq lists it as uncharacterized. The record is from RefSeq and is a predicted model, not a curated record. Lineage: Eukaryota; Viridiplantae; Streptophyta; Magnoliopsida; Lamiales; Pedaliaceae.
UCUUUCUGGCCUAUGCUUUCUCAGAGCCUCAUGGCAUGGUGCGAAAAAUUGAUGCCUGAGAGCUUCCUCCGCACUGAUUCUCUGUCGUGGAUUCACCGUUAAACACUUAUCCACAAGAUCAAAUAGUGAUGCAGCUUGGCAACUUCCCACAAAUCUUCACUGCCCCUCAAUGUUGCAAUCUCUUUUAUGUUCCUGCACAUGCAACGGUGCGCGACCAAUCAUCAGGUACAGUAAGGUCACUCCAGCAGACCAAAUAUCAGCCUUAGGGCCUUGGUGUAGAGAUCUGAACAGCACCUGAAAAAAGCACUCAGCAUUCAGUUCUCUUUCAGUGAUUGGGAGAAUUAAGUUCUUUCCUGAUAUAUUGGAUACUACUGGACAGCAAAAGAGGGGAGAAGGGAAAAAAAUAAGAGCAUUUUGUAAAUGCAAUGCUGGACGGGUAACUACGAUAAUUUAUUUUGCCUACACGUUAAGAGCUAAAAGAAAGAGAACUGCUAAUAUCCAUACUAUGCAGACCUCAGUAACGACAGUUUUGACUCCCAGAAUCAGAACUUGGAUAGACAACAAAUCCCUUUCAAUGUAAAGGUAACAUUUUCUCUUCUUUAAUCCUAUUUCGAGGAUAAUAACAAAUUUCUAAGAACUUUUUGUCCUGAAAAGAGUUACUGAGCACCAAAUAUUCACAUGAAGAUGCAAGCCUUACUAACCACCUGCUCCCCCCAACCCAUGCAAAGAAAAGAAAGGUCGAAGCGUCGUACCUCUGGAGCUUUAAAGCCUUUAGUUCCAACACAUGGACCUUCUCGCCUGUGCUUCCCAUCACCUACAAACAACAUGAUAUAGCAACUUAAGUGGCAUUGGAGUUGGAUACAAAAAUUUGCUAUCAGUAUCUCCAGGAUGUGCAGCAACUCUUUUCCGCUUAGACAUGGGAGCCUUUACAGAUACAUGAUUUCCACCCUGCAGGGCUUCCUGCACCAGGCUUAUCAGCUCCUUUCUACCUUGGCUCGAUGGUAGAUAUUUGGUCAGGGCAGUAGGAGCUUGAUCAAAGUUCAAAUUAUGCCCCGCUUUGGAACUAUCUGUAGCACAGAAAGGAAGGCCAAUAAGUGAAUAUGGUUGGGAUGGAAGGUGGUUGCUACUCUUCAUGGUCAAGCAAAGUGUCUUAUCCCUGUCAUUUGGUUCAUCCUUCUGGUCAGGUUUGGGCAUUGAGGAGUAUUUCAGAAGGUGAUUCGGCAUGUGUCCC